Molecule: ribosomal RNA, 465 nt
Filed under: Vreelandella stevensii
Lineage: Bacteria; Pseudomonadati; Pseudomonadota; Gammaproteobacteria; Oceanospirillales; Halomonadaceae
Description: partial 16S ribosomal RNA
Rfam family: Bacterial small subunit ribosomal RNA
Source: RNAcentral
CCUACGGGUGGCUGCAGUGGGGAAUAUUGGACAAUGGGGGGAACCCUGAUCCAGCCAUGCCGCGUGUGUGAAGAAGGCCCUCGGGUUGUAAAGCACUUUCAGUGAGGAAGAACGCCUGGUGGUUAAUACCCAUCAGGAAAGACAUCACUCACAGAAGAAGCACCGGCUAACUCCGUGCCAGCAGCCGCGGUAAUACGGAGGGUGCGAGCGUUAAUCGGAAUUACUGGGCGUAAAGCGCGCGUAGGUGGCUUGAUAAGCCGGUUGUGAAAGCCCCGGGCUCAACCUGGGAACGGCAUCCGGAACUGUCAAGCUAAAGUGCAGGAGAGGAAGGUAGAAUUCCCGGUGUAGCGGUGAAAUGCGUAGAGAUCGGGAGGAAUACCAGUGGCGAAGGCGGCCUUCUGGACUGACACUGACACUGAGGUGCGAAAGCGUGGGUAGCAAACAGGAUUAGAUACCCUUGUAGUC